CAACUCUCCUGGAGUUGAGGACUUCUGACAGGUGCUGGCCAGAUGGCAGCAUGGCCAGAGGGCAGCUCUGUCCACUGGGAGAACAUGUGGUGGCCCUGACUCAAAGCAGACCCGGGCUGGAGGUCACUGGCACUGAGGCAGAGGCACGUGGGCCCACUUGGGUCUGGAGCACUGCUUGAUUUGGCCAGGGCCAGGCUGGGACAUCCCUCUACAGUAACUCCAGGGAUGUCAAGUAGGACUUUACUAGCCCUUGCCGAGCCAAUGGGGUCCCUUCACUGGAAUGAGAUUCUUCCCUACAGUGAGACCCUGCUCAAGGCCCUACAAGCCACAUCCAGAAAGGGUCCCUGGUGAAGUACUCGGUGGGCCUCUGUUUCUCCAGGGUGGUUCACCUCCUUCACCCAGGGAAGCCAUAUCCCCACCUCUCACUGGAGGGGGAUCCAGUCCUCAAGCCACCAGCCAGACUGAGACAGUCCUUGUCCAUGGGACAACCUCCAGCUCAUGUCUGUCCUGCCUCAGUGGCCCAUGAACCAAUGUCUGCCUGAAUCAGGUGCACAUCAGAAGC
RNAcentral lists this long non-coding RNA (562 nucleotides) under Heterocephalus glaber (naked mole-rat). RNAcentral describes it as "lncRNA (ENSHGLG00000037343.1)". Lineage: Eukaryota; Metazoa; Chordata; Mammalia; Rodentia; Bathyergidae. The record is from RNAcentral.